CUACGGGUGGCACCAGUGGGGAAUAUUGCACGAUGGGCGAAAGCCUGAUGCAGCAACGCCGCGUGAGGGACGAAGGCCUUCGGGUUGUAAACCUCUUUUAGCAGGGAAGAAGCGAAAGUGACGGUACCUGCAGAAAAAGCACCGGCUAACUACGUGCCAGCAGCCGCGGUAAUACGUAGGGUGCAAGCGUUGUCCGGAAUUAUUGGGCGUAAAGAGCUCGUAGGCGGUUUGUCACGUCUGCUGUGAAAUUUCGAGGCUCAACCUCGAACUUGCAGUGGGUACGGGCAGGCUAGAGUGCGGUAGGGGAGAUGGGAAUUCCUGGUGUAGCGGUGGAAUGCGCAGAUAUCAGGAGGAACACCAAUGGCGAAGGCACAUCUCUGGGCCGUAACUGACGCUGAGGAGCGAAAGCGUGGGGAGCGAACAGGAUUAGAUACCCGCAUAGUC
RNAcentral lists this ribosomal RNA (444 nucleotides) under uncultured bacterium. RNAcentral's name for it is "partial 16S ribosomal RNA". It matches the Rfam family "Bacterial small subunit ribosomal RNA", at positions 339 to 795 of the family's 1533-position model. The record is from RNAcentral.